UGAUUAAGAACUAAAUAAACAUUAUUUUAUAAAAAAAAAAAAAUAUCAUGUAAUUCAAGCCCUGUGACAGCACUGACAAACUGCUAUACAGCUUGUAGGCUCUAUAUAAGCAUACAGGGCUUAUUUUAGUUCUUACUGUUUAUAGUGCCUAUAAGCAUUAGGAAUGCUUAAACAGAGCUUUUAAGCACUGAAUUUUUUUUAAUGACCAUUAUAAUGUUUAAAACAGUGCUUAGUGGUUACCUGGGACCCAAUAUGCACCCUCUUUGCCACCUACCACAGCACCAUGAUUGUAACAUAAUUCGGGCGGUGAAAGAAAAGUCCAAUAUGUCAUGUAAAUGAACUUGUUCGUACACUCUUGGUUUCGCAAAACCCGGAUUUCCGGGAACAUAUGCGCUCAUUCCAUAUAUGGUGUAAUUUUUCCUAGCACUAUCGGUAACGUGUACAAUUUUGAAACUAUAUCAUCCCGAAUGAUGCUAUAUUCUGUUCUAGCUUCAAUCGAAGGGUUCAUAAGGUCACUUAACCAGAGAAGGAUUUAUUCCUGAUUGAAAAAAGAAAACGUGAAUUCACAGUGUUAAGAUUGUGCGAGAUCUGGGGAAUCCCGCAUUUCUAAAUUAUAAAUCACUACCGUGCGCAAUACACUUCAGUCUUCAUCCACUGUUUUCAUUGUUCACACGCAAAACCAUAAGAGAUGGAUUCCCGAAGAAUUAUUAUAUUGGUUUUUGCAUUAUCAGUGGCGUAUUUACCAGCCUUGGGAAGACCUGUAGACCAUUCCUAUUAUUCGCGUAUUGAAAUUCUUCCUCCUCCUCAUUUAACCCGUAUAAAAGUACCAGAGAAAUCUGCAAGAAUUUCACCAACAACGGCGAAACCAGUUCAACGAAGUACUAUAGAAACAACCACGGAAUACAAAUAUAAAGAUAUCAUAGAAGCCUAUACCAUAGAAGUGCCCAAACUUGAACCGAUUCGACAUGCAGCUGGGACACUGUACUACACAGUGGACCCGCAGGAAGAUCCGUACAAAAAGUUGAUGCAAGUGUACCAGGAUAAUUUUGAAACACCUAUGAACAGAAAUUUUCCAAAAAAUGUUCGACCUCCUAAAUAUUGAUCGUUUAUCGCCUGCAUUUAAUUUUAGUGUGUUUUGAAAUAAAUGGAACUGUACAGCAUUACAUUCAAAUCAGUUUACAAUAUACUAAAAAUCAACGGAGAAAACAA
Aedes albopictus (Asian tiger mosquito) is the source of this 1209-nucleotide long non-coding RNA. RefSeq lists it as uncharacterized. The record is from RefSeq and is a predicted model, not a curated record. Lineage: Eukaryota; Metazoa; Arthropoda; Insecta; Diptera; Culicidae. The transcript is spliced from 3 exons.